Molecule: unclassified non-coding RNA, 19 nt
Filed under: Dictyostelium discoideum
Lineage: Eukaryota; Evosea; Eumycetozoa; Dictyosteliales; Dictyosteliaceae
Source: RNAcentral
UCCAAUGUGAGGGCUUGCU